RNAcentral lists this long non-coding RNA (552 nucleotides) under Phasianus colchicus (ring-necked pheasant). Its description in RNAcentral is "lncRNA (ENSPCLG00000006348.1)". The record is from RNAcentral. Lineage: Eukaryota; Metazoa; Chordata; Aves; Galliformes; Phasianidae.
ACAAAACUCAUUUUGACAAAAUGCUAUUUCUUUUAAUUGAACUUAAAUAAAACUGCUUGUGAUUUUUGGAGGUGAAAUGGCUUUUAUCUGCAGACAGUUGUCUGUGCUCCAAACCAGCUGGAUACAAGGUAGUUCUUGUUCGAAAGUCAUGUGGCAGAGUUACUGGAAACGUGAGCUGUAGCUACUGCAUCCUUCUUCUUGGUUCAGCAAAAAGCAAGAUGGAAAGUCAAAGCUACUGGUUAUGCUGUAGAGUUUCAUGCUGUAAUCUUAUUUUCCAUGUAGGAAAGGAUGCUUAGUUUUGAGUACUUAGGGCCACUGCACAUGGGGUGGGCAGGUUUGUGAUGAAAAUUUAUUUCGUAUGAUGUAUAAAUGUUGGCAUGGUUCAAUAUGUGAGCAUCUGUAGUACGAGUAGGUAAAUACUUGUGUGUGUGUGUAUACAUAAAAAAAUUCUUCUUUUAUUAAGCGUGAACUUACCUUUGCUGUAAUAUCAGUGAAAUUUGAACAUGCUUAUAAAUACUAAGAAUAAAAACAGUCAUUGAAAAUAUUUGCUUC